AAUCGCAUUUUCAGAUUUGACUUAAUGUGUAGUGUCCAUCUCCAUUCAGUCCCUUAGUAGAUCAAGAAUGUCAUGUUAUAGAAUGUACCUCUUUUUUAUUGGAGAAGAUGAUUCUGUUUCCAUUUUGAUAUCAGGUUCAUAAGCAAGGUGUUGCACUUGGAAGAUCUGUUGACUUGACAAAGUUUGAUGGUUAUGACCAAUUGAUCGAGGAGUUAGAUCAGCUAUUUGAAUUCAAAGGAGAAUUGAUGGCUCCAAAUAAAAAUUGGAUGAUUGUAUUUACUGAUAAUGAGGAUGAUAUGAUGCUUGUUGGAGAUGACCCUUGGCAGGAAUUUUGUGCUAUGGUCCGUCAGAUUUUUAUAUACACAAAAGAGGAGGUCCAGAAGAUGGAUUAAAGUACCUUGAACCCAAAAAAUGAAGAUUGUCCUGAUAUGAAAGAGAAUGUCAAGGAAACAAAAGGCAGUCAAUCUGCAUCAUCAUCUAAUUCAAAAAACUCAUAGGCUUAUCCUGCAAUGUUAUUGAGAUGUUUUAUUUGAAAACUAUGAUAGGAUCUUGAAGCACAAACAAAGUGAUUGUUUGUGCUUUAUCUAAGUGAUUGUUUGAACAGUUUUAUAGCAUGCAUCUUGACAAUUAAUAUAAUUUUGAAGAUCACUAUCAAGGAAGAAUGUUCAAAGGAAAGUAAAGGCUAAGGAGAAGAUCACGUAAUUACCUACACGGGUCUAGUGAAAAUAC
This is a long non-coding RNA of Zingiber officinale, 729 nucleotides long. RefSeq lists it as uncharacterized. The transcript has 5 exons. The record is from RefSeq and is a predicted model, not a curated record. Lineage: Eukaryota; Viridiplantae; Streptophyta; Magnoliopsida; Zingiberales; Zingiberaceae.